Molecule: transfer RNA, 74 nt
Filed under: Furcifer minor
Lineage: Eukaryota; Metazoa; Chordata; Lepidosauria; Squamata; Chamaeleonidae
Description: partial tRNA-Leu
Rfam family: tRNA
About the family: Transfer RNA (tRNA) molecules are approximately 80 nucleotides in length. Their secondary structure includes four short double-helical elements and three loops (D, anti-codon, and T loops).
Source: RNAcentral
ACUUUUAAAGGAAAGCACUUGUCCAAUGGUCUUAGGAUCCAAAUAUCUUGGUGCAAAUCCAAGUAAAAGUAAUG